AAACAAGUAAUUGUUAACUAUAGGCUAUUACUUUAUUGCAGUUAUGUUAUCAACCAACUUUACAUGUGUGGAUGAUAGAUUUAUCAUGAACUCUCUAGACUACGAUGGCAGCACCGCGUUCCUGGGAGACUGGGGACCUUUCCAAAGGACGGUGUUCACUCUUUUGUGUUUGAGCAUUAUUCCCAAUGGCUUCACUGGGUUAUCCAUGGUGUUUAUGGGCGAUACACCCGCUCAUCACUGCCUCAUUCCUGCGGCUCUGAACAUCACUGAUGAAUGGAGAAACGUGUCUAUUCCUCUGGAUGAGGAUUCUCGACUCACUAAAUGCUCAAGACACCGAGUGGACAUCGUGAAGAACUAUUCGGACAGAGGUUUGCUCCCGUGGGUGGAUGUGAAUGUCUCGUCCAUUCCUCGAGAAGCCUGCGUGGACGGCUGGGAGUAUGAUAAAGAAACGUACAUCUCCACGAUUGUUACAGAGUGGGAUUUGGUGUGUUCAGAUGACUGGAGAGUUCCAUUGUCCACAUCACUCUUCUUCUGUGGUGUUUUGACUGGUUCUAUGAUCUCUGGACCGAUAUCUGACAGGUUUGGCAGGAAAAUAGUUCUGUUUGUUACCAUGAUGAUUCAGACAGUAUUCACCUUAAUUCAAGUCUUCUCCCCAUCUUGGUUGAUUUUUUGCAUAUUGUUUUUCAUUGCUGGAAUGGGCCAAAUUUCAAACUAUUUGGUAGCAUUUGCUUUAGGAAUGGAAAUAUUGAGCCCAUCCAUUCGUGACCUCUACUCCACUCUUGGCGUGUGUCUUUUCUUUUCAAUUGGGUAUAUGAUGCUUCCACUGGCUGCCUACUUCCUGCGAGACUGGAGAACACUGCUGAUGGCCCUCACCGUCCCUGGAUUCUUCUGCAUAGCCCUUUGGUGGUUUAUUCCAGAGUCUCCUCGAUGGUUGCUGUCUCAAGGGAGGGUUGAUGAGGCCGAGGCAAUUCUGAGAAAGGCUGCCAAGAUGAACGGGGUUAAAGCCCCUGAUGUCAUUUUCCCCCUGCAUCAGUCAAGAGAAAACGCUGGAAGGUUGCAGACCUACAGUCUCUGUGACCUGGUGAAGUCCAGCAACAUCUGCUGCAUUACUGUCCUGCUGUGCCUGGUCUGGUUUUCUGUUUCGAUUGGAUACAAUGCCUUGUCUCUGAACACGUCCAGUCUGCAUGGGAACAUCUACCUGAACUGCUUCCUGUCAGCAGUAGUGGAAGUGCCUGCGCUCAUCAUGGCCUGGCUGAUGCUCCGCCACUGGCCACGCCGCCUCUGCAUGACCUCCACCCUGUCAUUAGGGGGACUGCUGCUUCUCUUCAUACACCUCAUACCAGAACAUAUGAGCUCUGUUACCACUGCUCUGGUGAUGCUGGGAAAGUUCAGUCUGUCGGCAGCCUUUUCGAUCCUGUACCCAGCGACUGCAGAGCUUUACCCCACCAUUGUGAGGAGCACGUCUUUAGGAAUCUGCUCCAUGGCAUCCAGAGUCGGCGGCCUUUCUUCACCAUACUUCAUCUACUUAGGUCACUGAACUCUAGUCUCUAUAAUCUCUUCUAUCUCAUCUCCUAAAUCCUACAUCUACUGUGUAGUUCCUCAUGUAAGGAAGGAUUCUGUCACUCAGAAAGGCUAUCCCACUGGAUCACAUUCACAGAAGCUGGUAUUUUUGUCGCAUUUUCCACUGCAAAUAUCUAAAAAUUCUUAAAAGUUAGCUAUUGUUCGGACACUCUUACUUCUCUACACUAUUGUCUCUCGCCUUUAUGUCAUAUCUUCUCAUUUUAACUUUACCAAUUCAGCACAGUGCUCAAACUGCCACAGACUUCUACUAAAGUUUGCAGUUUUUGAAACAAAUUUACUUGCGGUCCUGUCAGAACUGCCAGAAAACACAGGAAAGCUUCAUCAGUCCAGCACUCUGAUAGCCCUUACAAAAAAUAAGUAUACUUUAAGUUAAUUUUAUUAAGUAUACUUAAGUAAAGUUGUAAUUAUAUUUUUAAGUAUACUUUAUGUAGUAAGAAUACUAAUAUUAUUGUACUAGUAGUAUACUUGCAAAUGAACUGUUUCAAUACUACUUGGGACUAAACUGGCCCACUUUUUAGUGUAUAAGAAUAUACUUUUAAGUAUACUUUAAGUGUAAUAGUAGUAAAUUUUGGUCACACAACUAUUUUACAACUAAGUUUUUCCUUUGUACUGCAUCUGUACUACAAGUGAACGUUACAGGUAUCUAUUUACUAGUCAAAUACUUGUAGUACAUUUUUUUAGUUUAUGAAAGUACACUUUGAAGUGUACUCUCAGUAAACUACUAGUUUAGUAGUUUUAUACUGCAAGUAUACUUGUAAGUUUUAUUUAGGUGAACACAACAUCAUUCCUAUAGUUAACUAUUUCUAUAUUAUUUUACAUUUAAGGUUGCUACUAUGUUCCUAUUUAGGUAUUAAUUUUUAUACUUGAAACGUACUGUAUGUUUAUGGUCUAAAUACAUUGCUACACAAAACAUGCAAAAUGAGAGGACUGAACUUUAUUGACAACUUCAGUCUUUUCUGGAUUAAAAGACAACUGCUUACAGACGGCCUCCACCCAAACAAACAUGGCCACAGGACUUCACAUCAGCACCUGAAUGUGAAUGAUGUAUCCUACAAGGACAAUGAUAACAUCAAGCAGCCACAACAAGCACUGCUCACGGACACAAUCUCAGCUGAGCCUGCCCAAAAAUGUUCUUUACAGAGAGACUGUGACGAACUACAACUGCUACAAGUUGCGACACCCAAGGAUAACCUCUAGGAAAAGUGGGGGAAGACAGGAUAACAUAUUUAAGCUCCAAUCGCACCAGAGCCACAGCCCCUCUCACCAGACACAUUAUCCUUCUUCCCUGCAUCCCCGCUUCUGAGCUUCUCAGAGAGAAUGAAAGAACCGGUGUAUGCCGGAACCAAACUAUCCCACUCUAUUGCUGCGAGCCCCUAGAUAUCAACCAAAAAGCGGCAAGCCCCGCAACUACCAAAGCCUGUGGGCCCAGCUCGCCCUCCUCCUGUGAGAGAUCUCCCAGCUCGUCCCCACACCCUCCUCCAUCUGUUCUAGGAGGCUACUACAGAUCUUUGCCGUACAUCUUAAUCGGCAGUCUGAAUAUUCUCUCUGGGUUGCUUUACCUUCUGCUUCCGGAGAGUCUGGGAUCACCUUUACCAGAGACUAUCAGUCACAUGCAGACAGUGGUU
This is an RNA transcript of Megalobrama amblycephala (Wuchang bream), 3206 nucleotides long. It is a transcript of the gene named solute carrier family 22 member 4-like, with no coding region annotated. The transcript has 10 exons. The record is from RefSeq and is a predicted model, not a curated record. NCBI's taxonomy places the organism in Eukaryota, Metazoa, Chordata, Actinopteri, Cypriniformes, Xenocyprididae.